AUACGGAGGAUCCAAGCGUUAUCCGGAUUUAUUGGGUUUAAAGGGUGCGCAGGCGGCCUUAUAAGUCAGUGGUGAAAUCUCCCGGCUCAACCGGGAAACUGCCAUUGAUACUGUAGGGCUAGAAUACAGACGAAGUAGGCGGAAUGUAGCAUGUAGCGGUGAAAUGCUUAGAUAUGCUACAGAACACCGAUCGCGAAGGCAGCUUACCAGACUGUAAUUGACGCUAAGGCACGAAAGCGUGGGGAGCGAACAGGAUUAGAAACCCUAGUAGUCC
RNAcentral lists this ribosomal RNA (274 nucleotides) under uncultured bacterium. RNAcentral describes it as "partial 16S ribosomal RNA". It matches the Rfam family "Bacterial small subunit ribosomal RNA", at positions 523 to 796 of the family's 1533-position model. The record is from RNAcentral.